AGGACGAACGCUGGCGGCGUGCUUAACACAUGCAAGUCGAGCGGAAAGGCCCUUCGGGGUACUCGAGCGGCGAACGGAUGAGUAACACGUGAGCAACCUGCCCUUAGCUUCGGGAUAGCUCCGGGAAACCGGAAUUAAUACCGAAUAUGAUUUUGCUGACAUCAGCAGAAGUGGAAAGUUUUUCGGCUAGGGAUGGACUCGCGGCCUAUCAGCUAGUUGGUGAGGUAACGGCCCACCAAGGCGACGACGGGUA
This 253-nucleotide ribosomal RNA is filed under the name uncultured bacterium. Its description in RNAcentral is "partial small subunit ribosomal RNA". It matches the Rfam family "Bacterial small subunit ribosomal RNA", at positions 26 to 285 of the family's 1533-position model. The record is from RNAcentral.